GCAAGUCGAGGGGUAACAUAGUAGCUUGCUACUGAUGACGACCGGCGCACGGGUGCGUAACGCGUAUAGAAUCUCCUAUUACAGAGGGAUAGCCUUUAGAAAUGAAGAUUAAUACCUCAUAGUACUGUUUUACUGCAUGGUAAAAUAGUUAAAGAUUUAUCGGUAAUAGAUGAUCAUGCGUCCUAUUAGCUAGUUGGUAUGGUAACGGCAUACCAAGGCAACGAUAGGUAGGGGUCCUGAGAGGGAGAUC
This 250-nucleotide ribosomal RNA is filed under the name uncultured bacterium. Its description in RNAcentral is "partial 16S ribosomal RNA". It matches the Rfam family "Bacterial small subunit ribosomal RNA", at positions 57 to 305 of the family's 1533-position model. The record is from RNAcentral.